This 254-nucleotide ribosomal RNA is filed under the name uncultured bacterium. RNAcentral describes it as "partial 16S ribosomal RNA". It matches the Rfam family "Bacterial small subunit ribosomal RNA", at positions 524 to 776 of the family's 1533-position model. The record is from RNAcentral.
UACGUAGGGUCCAAGCGUUGUCCGGAUUUAUUGGGCGUAAAGAGCUCGUAGGCGGCUUGUCGCGUCGUGUGUGAAAUCUCAGGGCUCAACUCUGACAUUGCAUACGAUACGGGCAGGCUUGAGUUCGGUAGGGGAGACUGGAAUUCCUGGUGUAGCGGUGAAAUGCGCAGAUAUCAGGAAGAACACCAGCGGCGAAGGCGGCACUCUGGGCCGGUACUGACGCUGAGGUGCGAAAGGCGUGGGGAGCAAACAGG